ACUCCUACGGGAGGCAGCAGUGGGGAAUAUUGCACAAUGGGCGCAAGCCUGAUGCAGCCAUGCCGCGUGUAUGAAGAAGGCCUUCGGGUUGUAAAGUACUUUCAGCAGUGAGGAAGGUGGAUAUGUUAAUAGCAUAUUCUAUUUGUACGUUAGCUGCAGAAGAAGCACCGGCUAACUCCGUGCCAGCAGCCGCGGUAAUACGGAGGGUGCGAGCGUUAAUCGGAAUUACUGGGCGUAAAGCGCAUGCAGGUGGUUUGUUAAGUCAGAUGUGAAAGCCCGGGGCUCAACCUCGGAAUUGCAUUUGAAACUGGCAAACUAGAGUACUGUAGAGGGGGUAGAAUUUCAGGUGUAGCGGUGAAAUGCGUAGAGAUCUGAAGGAAUACCGGUGGCGAACGGCGGCCCCCGUGGACAGAUACUGACACUCAGAUGCGAAAGCGUGGGAGCAAACAGGAUUAGAU
RNAcentral lists this ribosomal RNA (458 nucleotides) under uncultured bacterium. RNAcentral describes it as "bacterial SSU rRNA". It matches the Rfam family "Bacterial small subunit ribosomal RNA", at positions 335 to 783 of the family's 1533-position model. The record is from RNAcentral.